UACAGAGGGGGCAAGCGUUGUUCGGAAUUACUGGGCGUAAAGGGCGCGUAGGCGGCCUGCUAAGUCGAACGUGAAAUCCCUGGGCUCAACCCAGGAACUGCGUCCGAUACUGGUUGGCUUGAAUCCGGGAGAGGGACGUGGAAUUCCAGGUGUAGCGGUGAAAUGCGUAGAUAUCUGGAGGAACAUCGGUGGCGAAGGCGGCAUCCUGGACCGGUAUUGACGCUGAGGCGCGAAAGCCAGGGGAGCAAACGGG
This 253-nucleotide ribosomal RNA is filed under the name uncultured bacterium. RNAcentral describes it as "partial 16S ribosomal RNA". It matches the Rfam family "Bacterial small subunit ribosomal RNA", at positions 524 to 776 of the family's 1533-position model. The record is from RNAcentral.